Molecule: long non-coding RNA, 2183 nt
Organism: Girardinichthys multiradiatus
Lineage: Eukaryota; Metazoa; Chordata; Actinopteri; Cyprinodontiformes; Goodeidae
Exons: 5
Source: RefSeq, a predicted model, not a curated record
CGAUAACAGUAACCUACCGGAAAAGAUUGGUGCCAGUGGAAGACAUGAGACAUCGCUGAUUGGUUGACUGUGCUGUUGGACGGACCACAGUUCUUGUUCCACCCAUAUCGAGGAUGCAUUGAGGCAUCCUUCUGCGAACUUGGGUAAGCUAGGUUUCCCAUAAUGCACUCACCAGCAGCAGUCAAUGGAGAAGUUGGAGAAGUGGCUUGACAUCCACCCACCCACCCCAAGACCCCCCAAGCCUGGGCUGUGUCUAAGCAUGGACCUUUUGACUCGAUAAACACCCGCUCUCUAAAAAUUGGGAUUCCUGGCAACUGACGCUUCCUCCUGAUUGUAAUUUAUGUCGGAAGUCAUUGCUGUCCUACACUCUGCCACAUCCAAAGCCCAGGAGAGGGACUGGGUACGGGGAUUGGGCUUAUAGUAUCCUGUCUGCUGUAGAUCAUGGGCUCACCUUGCAGCAUUUCUUAAAUCUGCUCCACUUUUUCCUUUUCAUUUGUCGAGCCCUUUUUGCCAACCUGAGCUCUGCUGUUUAGGUUGACCUGUCAUUAAGCUGCAUAUGAUUUAGCCUUAACAAAAUUUGACAUCCUAUAGGCAAGGACUGAUUAGGCACUCUUAAUGUAUGCAGUUUGUGUGUGUGUGUGUGUGUGUGUGUGUGUGUGUGUGUGUGUAUGUGUGUGUGUGUGUGUGUGUGGGUGGGUGUGUGUGGGUGUGUGUGUUUGUGGGGUGGGGGUUGCAAAUAUCCAUGUCAGCCAUGGAUUGUACCUGAUGCUGAGAGCGUUUCUGCCGGGCCACAGAAUAAAGGAAAAUGACUGAUAAAUAAAAAAAUAAAAAACAAUGAACAUGAUUAAGAGGAAUCUGGAAUUUCAUCCCUUCUGUCUGAGAUAUUUGAAAUAUUAAUCCAUAAAUGUUCCUCAAGCUCAGAAGCAUCUUUCCACUGGUACACCUGAGACUGUGAUUGAAACACUUACAGCUUUUAACUUUUUGGUUAUUUAGCAUGUUGACAUUAAUCUUUCAUAAACAUGGGUUUCAUCUUGUAUUGCAGACAGGAUAUAUUAUAAUGAUUGGCUGAUUCAAACAUAAUACAUUCAUAAAGACAGUUUAAGAUUAACCUAAUGAAGGUCACAAACUCUGGACAGGUUAGCACUUUUGACAGUAACUCAGUUCUUCAUCAUGGUGCUUCACAGUAUAAUUUAAUACUUUUAAAAUGCAAAACAUCAUGAAUACAAUAAAAUAUAAAAAACAUUUUAGCUGUCCAGGCGUUUCCCAAAGUCAUUGUUUUCCUGCUCAAAAAGGUUUUGGGUUCGGGAUGCUAAAGCUGAAUAAAUUAGAAUCUAAACACUAAUAAGGCUCAUUUUGUCAGAUUAAAAGUACUCUCUGAAAAUAGCAAAUUUUAAGCAGGCAUUAAACAUACUUUUCAUUAAGCCCACUUUUAUGUAUAUAUUUUUUAUUGGUCUGAUGUAAUAUUGUAAUAUAUAUAUAUAUAUAUAUAUAUACACAGACUACUGGUCACACGUUUUAGACACUCUUUCUCGUUUAAUGUUAAUGGUAUAAUAAUAAUAGACAUAAUAAUAAUAUUAAUAGAUGACAUUUACAUAAUAAACAUUUAUUACAUUACACAUUUGUAGUAAACAAAAAUUUGUAAAAGAACAUUAAACAUGUUUUAUAUUUGUGAUUCCUCACAGUAACCCUUCUUUGCUUUGAUGACUUAAAUAUUCACCUUUAGCCUGCUCCUAAUGCACCUCUGUGAAGUUCUUUCAAGACUAUUUGGAAAACCAUUUCAGGGAUAUUCUGACAGGUCUAAUCCCAACCAAUCCCAUGUGGCAGUCAGAUUUUCUUUCAGCAGUCUUACUACAAUCAGUGACAGGCUGAGUGUUUCCGUGGAGGAGGACCACCAUGUUGGAAAGGACCAAGCACUGGUGUUUGCCCCACCAUGACCCAGCAUCCUGCUGAUCCAACACACUUCCAUGACGCCGUCUGGGAGUGUGCUUUAAAGGCCCUCAGGAAAGCUUUGGGGAAAGGGAUUCAAACAGUUACAGAAAGAAAAAAGGUUCAAAUCUUUUCAAAAAUUGGAUUUAUGUUCAACAUUUAUGUAAUAUUUGUGAUUUACUGAGCUGCUGACUGCUUUGUAUAAAUUUAACAAAGACUUUAAUCUGAUGUUAGAAUAAACAUGUGGCUCUAUUUCA